UAGGGAAUCUUCCACAAUGGACGAAAGUCUGAUGGAGCAACGCCGCGUGAGUGAUGAAGGGUUUCGGCUCGUAAAACUCUGUUGUUGGAGAAGAACGGGUGUCAGAGUAACUGUUGACAUCGUGACGGUAUCCAACCAGAAAGCCACGGCUAACUACGUGCCAGCAGCCGCGGUAAUACGUAGGUGGCAAGCGUUGUCCGGAUUUAUUGGGCGUAAAGCGAGCGCAGGCGGUUUUUUAGGUCUGAUGUGAAAGCCUUCGGCUUAACCGGAGAAGUGCAUCGGAAACCGGGAGACUUGAGUGCAGAAGAGGACAGUGGAACUCCAUGUGUAGCGGUGAAAUGCGUAGAUAUAUGGAAGAACACCAGUGGCGAAGGCGGCUGUCUGGUCUGCAACUGACGCUGAGGCUCGAAAGCAUGGGUAGCGAACAGGAUUAGAUACCCUGGUAGUCCAUGCCGUAAAACGAUGAGUGCUAAGUGUUGGAGGGUUUCCGCCCUUCAGUGCUGCAGCUAACGCAUUAAGCACUCCGCCUGGGGGAGUACGACCGCAAGGUUGAAAC
Molecule: ribosomal RNA, 556 nt
Filed under: uncultured bacterium
Lineage: Bacteria
Description: partial 16S ribosomal RNA
Rfam family: Bacterial small subunit ribosomal RNA
Source: RNAcentral